GGUUUCGUGGCCCAAUGGCAAGGCGUCUGACUACGAUAGAGGUUCAUUAUGAGGCUACUGCACUCAGUAAUGAAUGCUUUACGAUAAUCAGGAGAUUCUGGGUUCGACCCCCAGCGAGAUCA
Xylaria cubensis is the source of this 122-nucleotide non-coding RNA. NCBI's taxonomy places the organism in Eukaryota, Fungi, Ascomycota, Sordariomycetes, Xylariales, Xylariaceae. The record is from the annotation of a GenBank genome assembly.